Non-coding RNA from Triticum aestivum (bread wheat), 135 nucleotides. Lineage: Eukaryota; Viridiplantae; Streptophyta; Magnoliopsida; Poales; Poaceae. The record is from Rfam.
UAAAUACUCCGUCCAUCCGAAAAUACUUGUCAUCAAAAUGGAUAAAAAGAGAUGUAUCUAAAACUAAAAUACGUCUAGAUACAUUUCCUUUUAUCCAUUUUGAUGACAAGUAUUUUCGGACGGAGGGAGUAUUUG